GAUGAACGCUGGCGGCGUGCCUCAAACAUGCAAGUCGAGCGAGGCUAUGAAUUACCGCAAGGUAAGGCAUAGCCUAGCGGCGAACGGGUGAGUAACACGUGGGUAACCUACCUGGAAGACAGGGAUAACGAUUCGAAAGGGUCGCUAAUACCUGAUAAUAUCCAUCUGCCGGAUGGCGGAGGGAAGAAAGGGGAAACCCGCUUUCAGAUGGGCCCGCGUCCCAUCAGCUAGUUGGUAAGGUAAAGGCUUACCAAGGCGACGACGGGUAGCCGGUCUGAGAGGAUGUACGGCCACACUGGGACUGAGAUACGGCCCAGACUCCUACGGGAGGCAGCAGUUGGGAAUCUUAGGCAAUGGACGAAAGUCUGACCUAGCGACGCCGCGUGAGGGAAGAAGGCCUUCGGGUUGUAAACCUCUGUCAUGGGGAAGAAGGAAGUAGACGGUACCCGAACGAGGAAGCCCCUCGCUAACUACGUG
RNAcentral lists this ribosomal RNA (477 nucleotides) under uncultured bacterium. RNAcentral describes it as "bacterial SSU rRNA". It matches the Rfam family "Bacterial small subunit ribosomal RNA", at positions 28 to 507 of the family's 1533-position model. The record is from RNAcentral.